GCGCCUAAUAACUAGCCCACUAACAAGAAAAAACACCGAAAUAAAUAUUCUGAUAAGACCUGCAACGCACACAACAAACCAUUUUCCCCCUUUAGUAUAGGAGAUAGAAAAAGAC
This 115-nucleotide ribosomal RNA is filed under the name Neobythites sivicola. Its description in RNAcentral is "partial 16S rRNA". Lineage: Eukaryota; Metazoa; Chordata; Actinopteri; Ophidiiformes; Ophidiidae. The record is from RNAcentral.